RNAcentral lists this unclassified non-coding RNA (413 nucleotides) under Hevea brasiliensis (rubber tree). Lineage: Eukaryota; Viridiplantae; Streptophyta; Magnoliopsida; Malpighiales; Euphorbiaceae. The record is from RNAcentral.
UCCUUUGCCAUGUCACCCAAUACCUCCCUUGACGGCGAGAAUAUCGGAGUGGGCAAAACAGCAGGGGUCACCGGACAAGGGGAUACUAAGGAUGCGAUGCCUCCGGCUUUUUUCGCACGGAUAAUAAAAGACGUUGUGUUUCGGGGCGCAAAAGGAGCAAACCGAUUGUUGAACUUUUUCUUUGGGUGAUAGUAUUUUCGAGCUUUCAUUCGGUUUUGGGUUUGGAGUUCAUUCAGGCUAGGGGGCUUGUAACCACUGGCACCACUAGGUCCGCCGGCAGCCAAGGCGGAAUUUGAGAUAAUGGGUUUAUUUGACAUGGGCUUUUCCAUUCUUCUCUGGUCCUUGUUGAUAUUUUUGCCCUUCCAAUUAGUGUUGCUUCUGGGUUUUGAAGGGAGAAAGUUAUUACUAAUAUU